This 55-nucleotide transfer RNA is filed under the name Brentisentis yangtzensis. RNAcentral's name for it is "tRNA-Asn". The record is from RNAcentral. Lineage: Eukaryota; Metazoa; Acanthocephala; Palaeacanthocephala; Echinorhynchida; Leptorhynchoididae.
UACUAUUUGAGGGUUCAUUGGGCUGUUACCCCAUUUAACCACCCUCAUGAGAGUG